UCAGGUCUGUUGGGGGCCAUUGAAGGAGCGUUCACGUCGCGGUCCCUGUCAGGUGUUUUUGCACCUGCGAAUCCUUCA
Molecule: ribozyme, 78 nt
Filed under: Hippocampus comes (tiger tail seahorse)
Lineage: Eukaryota; Metazoa; Chordata; Actinopteri; Syngnathiformes; Syngnathidae
Description: Mammalian CPEB3 ribozyme (ENSHCOG00000004977.1)
Rfam family: Mammalian CPEB3 ribozyme
About the family: The mammalian CPEB3 ribozyme is a self cleaving RNA located in the second intron of the CPEB3 gene which belongs to a family of genes regulating messenger RNA polyadenylation. This ribozyme is highly conserved and found only in mammals.
Source: RNAcentral